AACCAUAGAAACCUGCGGAGUACCUGCGGAGGGAUCAUUAUAGUAUAUGGAAUCUCCAUUCUAUAAACCUACUCUGCGUAUCUUGUAACUGUUGCUUCCAUGGGACUUGGUUCCGCCACACCGGCUUCACGGCUGGUGAGCGCCCAUGGAAGGAGAAACAAAACUCUUCUUUGAAAUGUAGUCAGUCUGAACAAGUUUUUAUAAACGUUAAAACUUUUAACAAUGGAUCUCAGAUCGGAA
RNAcentral lists this unclassified non-coding RNA (240 nucleotides) under soil metagenome. RNAcentral's name for it is "partial contains 5.8S ribosomal RNA, internal transcribed spacer 2, and large subunit ribosomal RNA". The record is from RNAcentral.